RNAcentral lists this small RNA (132 nucleotides) under Polymorphum gilvum SL003B-26A1. RNAcentral describes it as "Alphaproteobacterial ar14". It matches the Rfam family "Alphaproteobacterial ar14". From Rfam's summary of the family: Smr14C2 was renamed NfeR1 (Nodule Formation Efficiency RNA) highly expressed in salt stress and during the symbiotic interaction on legume roots. The record is from Rfam by way of RNAcentral. Lineage: Bacteria; Pseudomonadati; Pseudomonadota; Alphaproteobacteria; Rhodobacterales; Paracoccaceae.
AGGAAUCGCGUUCCACGGGGCUCUCCUCCUCCCAAGCCUCGUGAGCGUGCAACGCCGGCGGGACCUCCUCCUCCCAAUCCCGCCAGCUCCAACGACGCCCGCCAGUACCUCCUCCCACUGGCGGGCGUUCGU